UACGUAGGGCGCAAGCGUUGUCCGGAAUUAUUGGGCGUAAAGAGCUCGUAGGCGGCCAGUUGCGUCUGCUGUGAAAUCCCGGGGCUCAACCCCGGGCUUGCAGUGGAUACGGGCUGGCUGGAGGCAGGCAGGGGAGAACGGAAUUCCCGGUGUAGCGGUGAAAUGCGCAGAUAUCGGGGGGAACACCGGUGGCGAAGGCGGUUCUCUGGGCCUGUACUGACGCUGAGGAGCGAAAGCGUGGGGAGCGAACAGG
Molecule: ribosomal RNA, 253 nt
Filed under: uncultured bacterium
Lineage: Bacteria
Description: partial 16S ribosomal RNA
Rfam family: Bacterial small subunit ribosomal RNA
Source: RNAcentral